This is a long non-coding RNA of Cucumis melo (muskmelon), 2895 nucleotides long. RefSeq lists it as uncharacterized. NCBI's taxonomy places the organism in Eukaryota, Viridiplantae, Streptophyta, Magnoliopsida, Cucurbitales, Cucurbitaceae. The record is from RefSeq and is a predicted model, not a curated record. The transcript is spliced from 4 exons.
CUCCAAAAACCCCAAUCUCAAUAAUAAAAUUUAAGUAUUUGUUUCCUUUCUUUUAUUGUACGCUUUCCCCGCAUUUCCUAUUUUUCCAAAAUCCCAAUCUUCUUCCGUUUCCCCAAUUUUUCAAUUCACGCAAGGUUCAAGUUCACGCCGCCUCUAGCAUCUCUCUGGCUCCCCCUUUCAUCUCGGCCUGUCAUCUCAGGCCGUCGACGACCAAUUUCUAAACCUCACGCCCUAAUUUCUCAAAAUCUCAACCUCUCCAAACCACAUCGACGGUGAAUCCGGCUGCCGUCGUCUUCAACGUCCGCCAAGUCCCCCACGCGUCAUUUGAAGGAUCGUCGUCGGUGAGUUCUUGAUUUUUCUUUUUUCGUUUCUUGAAGAAGAAGUUCGCCAGGAUAUUAGACAAGUUUGUUUGUAUGGUGCUCUAUCAAGCCCACGAAACGGUAAUUUGAGAAGAAAGUAUUCCAAAGUUGAUGAUUUUGCUAGGGUAAUUUGAAGAAGUUUACGCUCUCCAAAAGCACUUACCUCUGAAACAAAGAAAGUUAGCGAAGAUAUUAUUAGUGGUUAAGCCACUAUAUUAUUAGUCACUAUCUCAUAUGUUAUUAAUUGGUUAAUUUGUAUUAAAAGUUGUCCCUGACCUUCUUUUCGCCACUGCUAAGCAAUUGUGCUACACUUAAUUGGUUAAUUUGUAUUAAAAGUCAAAUUGCUGCAAAAGAAGAUUGGGACUGCUCGGAUAUGUCUUGGAGAGAGCAUUUAAGAAUGACAUUUGUUGAUAAAAGUGGUGAAAACAGUUCAAGACUGAUUUAUGUUCAUCUGUAAUAUUCAGCUCGCUAGUUUCUUUUAACUUGUUCUCAAAGUUUCAGGUUUAAAGCUAACAAUGUAUUUUUGCACUUGACUUUAUCAUUCCUUUUAAAUUAAAAUUUCUUUCACUUGAUCAGAUUUGAUUGUUUGUAAGGUUGGAACGGUGCUUCUUAGUUGUGCCUUCCUCUAUGAUAUUUUUUGGGUAUUUGUUUCUAAAGAAGGUGUUCAAUGAAAGUGUGAUGAUUGUGGUUAGUAGGGAGUGCCAUUUUGACUUACAUCGUCACAGACUUGAAGAAGAUCACCUCUCAUAUACUUUACUGCGUUGCUAUUAAAAAUCAUUAACAGGUGGCUUUUCCUUCCCAGCAUUUGUAUGGAUGUACUCUUGAAUGAUUAAUUUAAUGAUUUUUGUACUUUAAUGUUUUCUUACAUGUAAAUUUGCUGUCAUUUUGGCUACCAUAAAGCAAAUGGCGCUGGGUUGAAGGUAAAGGAACAUGAAUGUUCUUGAUUGGUUAUUUUUCAAUUAUUUUUUAUAAAUGCUAAAUGCAGAGUGUUUAUUGUUUUUUUAAAUGUUACAAGUUUUAUGAAAAGUAUGUUGGUGAAUUAAAAAAUGUGUUGAAGUGUCCAAGAGUAUGGCUUGUGAUUAACAUUAGGGUCUACAUUGAAUUCGAUGAGUAUUCAAUUACAAGAUUUAUGUUAGUAUCAUUGUCUUCUUGAAGAUAUCUUGGUUCUCUCUUAUUAUAUAUCCUUGUUGAAAGGUUUUAUAACUUGAAAGACCAUAGAUGAGAGGCACAUAUUCUCUUUUGGGAAUCAUACAACUGAGAUUCAGACAAUUCUAAUUCUGAAAGUAAUAUCUCUCUGUAUGUGAGAUAUUUUCCUCAAGAUGCUGUUGCACGCAGUUUUGCCAUCUACCAAUUUAUUGGUCAGUAUUUCCUUCUUUUAUAUUUAUUUCUGUGUACCAUGUUUGUAGUCUAAUUAUUUGAGGUAGUAAUAUUCCUACUUUUAGAUUGAUGGCUCUCCCUUAUGAGAUGUAGUUUAAGGUUCUGCAACUCUGCUACUAUCCAUGGUGGCUUAAGCUUGAUCAGAUACAUCUUUGGAAGUAAUAUUGCUUAUUCAUCUUGGAAGUGGUAAAGGGAAUAAAUCUUUGAUUUUACUAAAUUGUUUCUUCUGUAGGAUUCUGGAGAUGAAAUUCUUCUGCGAGAGGUAUUAUAUGAUGCUGCAAUAAUACCAGAGUACCCAUUCCUUAAACUUCAAUUUGGAACUAAACGAUCUGCUGCUGAUUUAAGAACUAUUUGUUUGAAUUGGUUAUUUGUUGUUGAUAAUGGUAGUUCUUUGAUGGCCAUAGAUUUUGUUUUUGCCAUUGUGAGUAUUCUGCUCGAGAUAGUUCUUCAUCAUGGAAUGAACCAUUUAGUUCUCAUCACUUAUUGUCUCUUCAUUGCUGUCAUUUCCUUAGCUCCAAUUACUUACUUCUGUGAAAAGUAAUUUCCUCAAAUACCCACUUUUUUAUUUAAUCCUUUUUUUCCUUUUGAUCUUUUGAUUAUUAUGAAUUUUCUCUUUUUCUCUAUUUAUGCUCUAUUGUUUUGGGGUUUUACAGAGAUGGUAGAGCCAGUCUCUCUCUUUGAAUUUUCUGUUAUUUGUUCUUCUGCGCCAUUGUUGGGAGGAAUUUGAUUUGGUUGAGCUUUGCUGCCAUAUCGAUGAUGAGCAUCCCUUAGAAGCCAACUUUGGGGUUAACAUUUUGAAAGGUUACAUGUGGGUGUGCAGCAAUAGUUGGUGCAACUUUUAGAGCUCUAGUUGGUGGUGUAUUAUUUGCACAGGAAGAAGUAACUUCUUGUAGAAGUUGUGGUGCCGAUAGUGAUACUGAGUCAUCAAAGAAAACAAGCAAUGAUGGAAGCAGCAAUUCUGGGGCAGAAAAGAAAAUGAAAACUAGUAUUAUUAACUCCAAUCUUUGUUGUAUUAGCAGAGUACUUAUUUAAAUAGCUUGUUGGUAUCAAAACAUGUAUGUUUAUUCUAUCAUUGUACAAACCAUUUACUUACAAUUGUACAAAUAUUACAAAGUGUAUGUUAACAUAUAUACAUUAAAGCAUUGACGGUUUGUUUUCA